CCUACGGGUGGCAGCAGUGGGGAAUAUUGCACAAUGGGGGAAACCCUGAUGCAGCGACGCCGCGUGAGUGAAGACGUAUCUCGGUAUGGUAAGCUCUAUCUGCAGGGAAGAAAAUGACGGUACGUGACUAAGUAUCCCCGUCUAACUACGUGCCAGCAGCCGCGGUAAUACGUAGGGGGCAGGCGUUAUCCGGAGUUACUGGGUGUAAAGGGAGCGUAGACGGCGUUGCAAGUGCGGAGUGAAAGCCCAUGGCUUAACCAUGGUACUGCUCUGGAAACUGUGGAGCUAGAGUGCGGGAGGGGCAGGCGGAAUGCCUGGUGUAGCGGUGAAAUGCGUAGAUAUUAGGAAGAACACCGACGGCGAAGGCAGCCUACUGGACCGUAACUGACGUUGAGGCACGAAAGCGUGGGGAGCAAACAGGAUUAGAUACCCCAGUAGUC
This 440-nucleotide ribosomal RNA is filed under the name uncultured bacterium. RNAcentral describes it as "partial 16S ribosomal RNA". It matches the Rfam family "Bacterial small subunit ribosomal RNA", at positions 338 to 795 of the family's 1533-position model. The record is from RNAcentral.